GAUGAACGCUGGCGGCGUGCCUAAUACAUGCAAGUCGAGCGAACAGACGAGGAGUUUGCUCCGCUGACGUUAGCGGCGGACGUGUGUGUAACAUGUGGAUAACCUACCUAUAAGACUGGGAUAACUUCGGGAAACCGGAGCUAAUACCGGAUAAUAUAUUGAACCGCAGGGUUCAAUAGUGAAAGACGGUUUUGCUGUCACUUAUAGAUGGAUCCGCGCCGCAUUAGCUAGUUGGUAAGGUAACGGCUUACCAAGGCAACGAUGCGUAGCCGACCUGAGAGGGUGAUCGGCCACACUGGAACUGAGACACGGUCCAGACUCCUACGGGAGGCAGCAGUAGGGAAUCUUCGGCAAUGGGCGAAAGCCUGACGGAGCAACGCCGCGUGAGUGAUGAAGGUCUUCGGAUCGUAAAGCUCUGUUAUUAGGGAAGAACAAAUGUGUAAGUAACUAUGCACGUCUUGACGGUACCUGAUCAGAAAGCAACGGCUAACUACGUG
Molecule: ribosomal RNA, 497 nt
Filed under: uncultured bacterium
Lineage: Bacteria
Description: partial 16S ribosomal RNA
Rfam family: Bacterial small subunit ribosomal RNA
Source: RNAcentral